AGUGAACGCUGGCGGUAGGCCUAACACAUGCAAGUCGAACGGCAGCACAGUAAGAGCUUGCUCUUACGGGUGGCGAGUGGCGGACGGGUGAGGAAUACAUCGGAAUCUACUUUUUCGUGGGGGAUAACGUAGGGAAACUUACGCUAAUACCGCAUACGACCUACGGGUGAAAGCAGGGGAUCUUCGGACCUUGCGCGAUUGAAUGAGCCGAUGUCGGAUUAGCUAGUUGGCGGGGUAAAGGCCCACCAAGGCGACGAUCCGUAGCUGGUCUGAGAGGAUGAUCAGCGACACUGGAGCUGAGACACGGUCCAGACGCCUACGGGAGGCAGCAGUGUGGAAUAUUGGACAAUGGGCGCAAGCCUGAUCCAGCCAUAGCGCGUGGGUGAAGAAGGCCUUCGGGUUGUAAAGCCCUUUUGUUGGGAAAGAAAAGCAGCAGGUUAAUACCCCGCUGUUCUGACGGUACCCAAAGAAUAAGCACCGGCUAACUUCGUG
This 492-nucleotide ribosomal RNA is filed under the name uncultured bacterium. Its description in RNAcentral is "partial 16S ribosomal RNA". It matches the Rfam family "Bacterial small subunit ribosomal RNA", at positions 29 to 507 of the family's 1533-position model. The record is from RNAcentral.